Molecule: ribosomal RNA, 258 nt
Filed under: uncultured bacterium
Lineage: Bacteria
Description: partial 16S ribosomal RNA
Rfam family: Bacterial small subunit ribosomal RNA
Source: RNAcentral
UGGCGGACGGGUGAGUAACGCGUGGGUAACCUGCCCCAUACAGGGGGAUAACAGCCGGAAACGGCUGCUAAUACCGCAUGCACAUGCCGGGGGCGCAUGCCCCUGCAUGGAAAGCUUUCGCGGUAUGGGAUGGGCCCGCGUCUGAUUAGGCAGUUGGCGGGUAACGGCCCACCAAACCGACGAUCAGUAGCCGGCCUGAGAGGGCAACCGGCCACAUUGGGACUGAGACACGGCCCAAACUCCUACGGAAGGCAGCAG